AUGAUGGUGACUUAACCCUCACAGAGUACCAAUUGGAGGGCAAGUCUGGUGCCAGCAGCCGCGGUAAUUCCAGCUCCAAUAGCGUAUAUUAAACUUGUUGCAGUUAAAAAGCUCGUAGUUGAAUUUCAGCGUUUCGCGUGUGCCUCUUUUGGCCCAUCUCGUCUCGCUUUUUUUAUUACUUUGAGAAAAUUAGAGUGUUUCAAGCAGGCUUUUGUCUUGAAUACUUGAGCAUGGAAUAAUAGAGUAGGACCUUGGUUCUAUUUUGUUGGUUUUGUUACCUUGGUAAUGGUUAAUAGGAACGGUUGGGGGCAUUCGUAUUUAACUGUCAGAGGUGAAAUUCUUA
RNAcentral lists this ribosomal RNA (343 nucleotides) under Babesia sp. CS58. RNAcentral's name for it is "SSU rRNA". It matches the Rfam family "Eukaryotic small subunit ribosomal RNA", at positions 514 to 922 of the family's 1831-position model. Lineage: Eukaryota; Apicomplexa; Aconoidasida; Piroplasmida; Babesiidae. The record is from RNAcentral.